CGGAGGGUGCAAGCGUUAUCCGGAUUCACUGGGUUUAAAGGGUGCGUAGGAGGGCAGGUAAGUCAGUGGUGAAAUCUCCAAGCUUAACUUGGAAACUGCCGUUGAUACUAUCUGUCUUGAAUGUUGUGGAGGUGAGCGGAAUAUGUCAUGUAGCGGUGAAAUGCUUAGAUAUGACAUAGAACACCAAUUGCGAAGGCAGCUCACUACACAAUUAUUGACUCUGAGGCACGAAAGCGUGGGGAUCAAACAGGAUUAGAUACCCUGGUAGUCCACGCCCUAAACUAUGGAUACUCGACAUACGCGAUAUACUGUGUGUGUCUGAGCGAAAGCAUUAAGUAUCCCACCUGGGAAGUACGACCGCAAGGUUG
Molecule: ribosomal RNA, 368 nt
Filed under: uncultured organism
Description: bacterial SSU rRNA
Rfam family: Bacterial small subunit ribosomal RNA
Source: RNAcentral